Long non-coding RNA from Pecten maximus, 2078 nucleotides. RefSeq lists it as uncharacterized. The transcript has 2 exons. The record is from RefSeq and is a predicted model, not a curated record. NCBI's taxonomy places the organism in Eukaryota, Metazoa, Mollusca, Bivalvia, Pectinida, Pectinidae.
UGGAGAUGUGAAGUAUUCUAGUAUGAUAACUGUGUGAGUUGUUGAGAUAUAUAAAGUAUUUUAUUAUUGUGUGAUUUAUUUUAUAGGUCUCUUGUUAAUGUUUCACUUGAUUUGUUUUUGUUGCCACGAAAUACAAGUGAAAUGCCAUUAAUGUAUAUAUUUAACAAUUGGACUUAAUUGAAAGUUAAAGAGAUAUGGAGUAUUCUGAAAUGAUUGUAUGUGUUACAUGGUACGUGUAAGUUAUAGAGAUAUGGAGUAUUGUGAUAUGAUUGUGUGUGUUACAUUGUACGUGUAAGUUAUAGAGAUAUAGAGUAUUGAUAUGACUAUAUGUUACAGUUUACGUGUUAGUUAUAGAGAUAUGGAGUAUUGUGAUAUGAUUGUGUGUUACAUUGUACGUGUAAGUUAUAGAGAUAUGGAGUAUUGUGAUAUGACUAUGUGUUACAUUGUACGUGUAAGUUAUAGAGAUAUGGAGUAUUGUGAUAUGACUAUGUGUUACAUUGUACGUGUAAGUUAUAGAGAUAUGGAGUAUUGUGAUAUGACUAUGUGUUACAUUGUACGUGUAAGAUAUAGAGAUAUGGAGUAUUCUGAUAUGACUAUGUGUUACAUUGUACGUGUAAGUUAUAGAGAUAUGGAGUAUUGUGAUAUGACUGUAUGUGUUACAUUGUAAGUGUAAGUUAUAGAGAUAUGGAGUAUUCUGAUAUGACUAUGUGUUACAUUGUACGUGUAAGUUAUAGAGAUAUGGAGUAUUGAUAUGACAAUGUGUUACAUUGUACGUGUAAGUUAUAGAGAUAUGGAGUAUUCUGAUAUGACUAUGUGUUACAUUGUAUGUGUAAGUUAUAGAGAUAUGAAGUAUUCUGAUAUGAUUGUGUGUGUUACAUUGUACGUGUAAGUUAUAGAGAUAUGGAGUAUUCUGAUAUGACUAUGUGUUACAUUGUACGUGUAAGAUAUAGAGAUAUGGAGUAUUGUGAUAUGUUUGUGUGUGUUACAUUGUACAUGUAAGUUAUAGAGAUAUGAAGUAUUCUGAUAUGAUUGUAUGUGUUACAUGGUACGUGUUACAUAGUAUGUGUUACAUUGUACGUGUAAGUUAUAGAUAUGGAGUAUUGAUAUGAUUGUGUGUGUUACAUUGUACGUGUAAGUUGAUUAUUUUGUGUUACGUUGUAUGUAAGCGUUCAUUCAGGAACAAGAACAGAUAUAUUUUCUGGUCGGUAUAUCACAUCAUAAACAUAUAUUCUCUAGAUUAUCUAUAUAUCAUAAUGAAUGUCAAAAGUUACAGAGAUGUGGUAUGUAUUUGAUGUAUGUAUUUACUGAGGUAUCAAGACGUAUUUUUUUAUACGUUGAGAACGUGUUGACCGGGAAAUGAGUGUAAGUGUUGGUAUGCUCAUCAAGACGUAUUUUUUUAUACGUUGAGAACGUGUUGACCGGGAAAUGAGUGUAAGUGUUGGUAUGCUGAGGAAGCGCUUACCGGAAAAUGAGUAAAGGUUGACACGGUGAUAAAGUUAACAGUAUAGGAAUGAUUCAGUUGUCCUGUAUGGUUACAAUACAAAUACACAGAGAUACAGGAGUUUCCAUUUCUUACUGGACUUAUGAAAGUCUUUUUUAUUUAAAUGUAGACUUUAACAAUGGUGAACAAGCAGUCGUCAUUGUCAUAGGUUUUCUUCGUGUCAGGAGUCGAAAACGGCCAAAUCUGUCAAAACAAAACAAAUAUUUGAUUUUUUUGCAUGUUCAUUUAAUUUGAGAUCUUAAGUUGAUCACACAAUUUUGAUUCAAAACAUCUUCGACUCCUUUCAUAAAUAAUCUGUAUGAAAUGAAAACUCAUUUUAGAUCCUUUGUUUAGGACUUGUCUGUUAAAAUCAAUUAUACAUGUAUGUUAUUUUAUGCAUUUUUGGUCUGGUAGUUUUAGUAUUCAUGAUUAUUUCACAAUGAAUAGCAUAUGGUUAAUUUUGGGAAGGAAUCUCUCGACGUAAACGUUGUUAACAUAAUUUGUUCUUGUUUGUGAGUUUAUGUUGUUCCUGUUUGUCUACUGAUAAAAAGGUGAUUUGUUUUAAUAAAAAUGUGAUACAUUAACACUGAUUGUAAUG